CGCCUCUCGUCUACCCAUGAGAGGUCCAGCCUGCCCGGUGACCUAGUUUAACGGCCGCGGUAUCCUGACCGUGCGAAGGUAGCGUAAUCACUUGUCUUUUAAAUAGAGACUAGUAUGAAUGGCAUCACGAGGGCUAUACUGUCUCCCCUUUCUAAUCAGUGAAACUAAUCUUCCCGUGAAGAAGCGGGAAUUUUAUUAUAAGACGAGAAGACCCUAUGGAGCUUUAAACAAAAUAAUAUCUGCUAGUCCCCUUUUCCCUCCCCCGGGAGGAGUAACCGCCACUUUAGCAUUAUAUUUAUUAGUUUUCGGUUGGGGCGACCACGGAGUAAAAAUUAACCUCCAUGUUGAAUGGGCUAUGCCCUUAGCAAAAAACCACAACUUUAAGCACCAAUAAACUGACAUUAAUUGACCCAAUAUAUUGAUCAACGAACCAAGUUACCCUAGGGAUAACAGCGCAAUCCACUUCAAGAGCUCUUAUCGAAAAGUGGGCUUACGACCUCGAUGUUGGAUCAGGGUAUCCUAGUGGUGCAGCCGCUACUAAAGGUUCGUUUGUUCAACGAUUA
Molecule: ribosomal RNA, 563 nt
Filed under: Stefania satelles
Lineage: Eukaryota; Metazoa; Chordata; Amphibia; Anura; Hemiphractidae
Description: partial 16S ribosomal RNA
Rfam family: Bacterial large subunit ribosomal RNA
Source: RNAcentral